AUGAAGUGAAUCCAAAAAUGAGCUGCGGUUUAUUGCAGCGUUGCUAUGGCAAUUUUUAGUCCACGGACAAAAAAAGACUAGUUCCCUAGUUAGAAGUGCGGCUUCCGCUCGAAUGGCGAACGGCGUAGGCUUUAAAAUUGGAAUCCCAAGUUUAGGGAAACCUGUUUCAGUUCUGGAUCAUAUACAAACAGUUCGUAGCGGAGCGGAGUGUAGUCGAGCUUCCAUUUGUCACUUCCAAUUAGACCGAGUCAAAGCGAGUCAGGUGAACUUUGUCCCGGCUGCUAAUCUCCCGACAUCUGUACCCAGCUCUCCAGACUUCGGACCAGGGGUCGAACCAGACUCAUUCAAUCAAUUGAAACACUGACACUGCUUUCUCUGUUUUGAAUACAAAUUAUCCCGAGUGAUGGCCAACCCACAACAUGCAGCUGCCACGCCCCCAAUCAAGCAGAUCCACACUCUGAAAAAGGAAGGACUCCUCCAUUAAUAUAAGUUAUGGACAUUUAAAAACUUCCAGGAACGAAAUGACUAUUUGGUUUUGACGCCUUGUUCGUCAAGCUUUCUUUUUUAAUGAACUAGAAAAUGAACAUUUUUUCUUCGAGCACAUUUGAGUUUAACCGCUCUACCUAUUCGUACUGUUAAAACUCACAUACACAUUAAAUAGCAGGUAACUU
This 671-nucleotide long non-coding RNA is filed under the name Drosophila melanogaster (fruit fly). RNAcentral describes it as "long non-coding RNA:CR43487 (Dmel_CR43487)". Lineage: Eukaryota; Metazoa; Arthropoda; Insecta; Diptera; Drosophilidae. The record is from RNAcentral.